UACAGAGGUCCCCGAGCGUUGUUCGGAUUCAUUGGGCGUAAAGGGAGCGUAGGCGGCGUGGUAAGUCAGAUGUGAAAUCCCGGGGCUCAACCCCGGAACUGCAUCCGAUACUGCCGUGCUAGAGGAUUGGAGAGGUAGCUGGAAUUCUUGGUGUAGCAGUGAAAUGCGUGGAGAUCAAAGAGGACACUCGUGGCGAAAGCGAGCUACUGGACAAUAUCUGACGCUGAGGCUCGAAGGCCAGGGUAGCGAAAGGGG
RNAcentral lists this ribosomal RNA (255 nucleotides) under uncultured bacterium. RNAcentral's name for it is "partial 16S ribosomal RNA". It matches the Rfam family "Bacterial small subunit ribosomal RNA", at positions 524 to 777 of the family's 1533-position model. The record is from RNAcentral.